CAGCCGCCGCGGGAAUACGAAGGGGGCUAGCGUUGCUCGGAAUUACUGGGCGUAAAGGGAGCGUAGGCGGACAUUUAAGUCAGGGGUGAAAUCCCGGGGCUCAACCUCGGAAUUGCCUUUGAUACUGGGUGUCUUGAGUAUGAGAGAGGUAUGUGGAACUCCGAGUGUAGAGGUGAAAUUCGUAGAUAUUCGGAAGAACACCAGUGGCGAAGGCGACAUACUGGCUCAUUACUGACGCUGAGGCUCGAAAGCGUGGGUAGCAAACAGGAUUAGAUACCCCAGUAGUCCCUGUCUCUUAUAC
This 301-nucleotide ribosomal RNA is filed under the name uncultured bacterium. RNAcentral describes it as "partial 16S ribosomal RNA". It matches the Rfam family "Bacterial small subunit ribosomal RNA", at positions 509 to 807 of the family's 1533-position model. The record is from RNAcentral.